CUUGAAAUAGCUCAGUUUGGAGAGCGUUAGCCUAAAGAGCUAAUGGUCCCUGGUUCAAUCCAGGGAUUUGACA
This 73-nucleotide transfer RNA is filed under the name Perca fluviatilis (European perch). RNAcentral describes it as "tRNA-Phe". The stretch from base 8 to 64 matches the Rfam family "tRNA", at positions 8 to 63 of the family's 71-position model. From Rfam's summary of the family: Transfer RNA (tRNA) molecules are approximately 80 nucleotides in length. Their secondary structure includes four short double-helical elements and three loops (D, anti-codon, and T loops). Further hydrogen bonds mediate the characteristic L-shaped molecular structure. tRNAs have two regions of fundamental functional importance: the anti-codon, which is responsible for specific mRNA codon recognition, and the 3' end, to which the tRNAs corresponding amino acid is attached (by aminoacyl-tRNA synthetases). tRNAs cope with the degeneracy of the genetic code in two manners: having more than one tRNA (with a specific anti-codon) for a particular amino acid; and 'wobble' base-pairing, i.e. permitting non-standard base-pairing at the 3rd anti-codon position. The record is from RNAcentral. Lineage: Eukaryota; Metazoa; Chordata; Actinopteri; Perciformes; Percidae.